Molecule: transfer RNA, 69 nt
Filed under: Rattus norvegicus (Norway rat)
Lineage: Eukaryota; Metazoa; Chordata; Mammalia; Rodentia; Muridae
Rfam family: tRNA
About the family: Transfer RNA (tRNA) molecules are approximately 80 nucleotides in length.
Source: Rfam by way of RNAcentral
GAUAAGGUAGCUGAGUUGGUAUAGUAUUUGUCUGGCACGCACAAAGCCUUGGGUUCAAUCCCAGUAUCA